Molecule: ribosomal RNA, 945 nt
Filed under: uncultured bacterium
Lineage: Bacteria
Description: bacterial SSU rRNA
Rfam family: Bacterial small subunit ribosomal RNA
Source: RNAcentral
AACGAAUUCGCCCUUAGAGUUUGAUCCUGGCUCAGGACGAACGCUGGCGGCGUGCUUAACACAUGCAAGUCGAACGAGAAGAGAUGAGAAGCUUGCUUCUUAUUGAUUCGAGUGGCAAACGGGUGAGUAACGCGUAAGCAACCUGCCCUCUAGAUGGGGACAACAGCUGGAAACGGCUGCUAAUACCGAAUACGUUUUUUCUGUCGCAUGGCAGAGAGAAGAAAGGGAGGCUCUUCGGAGCUUUCGCUGGAGGAGGGGCUUGCGUCUGAUUAGCUAGUUGGAGGGGUAACGGCCCACCAAGGCGACGAUCAGUAGCCGGUCUGAGAGGAUGAACGGCCACAUUGGGACUGAGACACGGCCCAGACUCCUACGGGAGGCAGCAGUGGGGAAUCUUCCGCAAUGGACGAAAGUCUGACGGAGCAACGCCGCGUGAACGAUGACGGCCUUCGGGUUGUAAAGUUCUGUUAUACGGGACGAAUGGUACGACGGUCAAUACCCGUCGUAAGUGACGGUACCGUAAGAGAAAGCCACGGCUAACUACGUGCCAGCAGCCGCGGUAAUACGUAGGUGGCAAGCGUUGUCCGGAAUUAUUGGGCGUAAAGGGCGCGCAGGCGGCGUCGUAAGUCGGUCUUAAAAGUGCGGGGCUUAACCCCGUGAGGGGACCGAAACUGCGAUGCUAGAGUAUCGGAGAGGAAAGCGGAAUUCCUAGUGUAGCGGUGAAAUGCGUAGAUAUUAGGAGGAACACCAGUGGCGAAAGCGGCUUUCUGGACGACAACUGACGCUGAGGCGCGAAAGCCAGGGGAGCAAACGGGAUUAGAUACCCUGGUAGUCCACGCCGUAAACGAUGAGUGCUAAGUGUUGGAGGGUUUCCGCCCUUCAGUGCUGCAGCUAACGCGUUAAGCACUCCGCCUGGGGAGUACGGUCGCAAGACUGAAACUCAAAGGA